This 252-nucleotide ribosomal RNA is filed under the name uncultured bacterium. RNAcentral describes it as "partial 16S ribosomal RNA". It matches the Rfam family "Bacterial small subunit ribosomal RNA", at positions 524 to 775 of the family's 1533-position model. The record is from RNAcentral.
UACGUAGGGUGCAAGCGUUGUCCGGAAUUAUUGGGCGUAAAGAGCUCGUAGGCGGUUUGUCGCGUCUGCUGUGAAAACUGGGGGCUCAACCCCCAGCCUGCAGUGGGUACGGGCAGACUAGAGUGCGGUAGGGGAGAUUGGAAUUCCUGGUGUAGCGGUGGAAUGCGCAGAUAUCAGGAGGAACACCGAUGGCGAAGGCAGAUCUCUGGGCCGUAACUGACGCUGAGGAGCGAAAGCAUGGGGAGCGAACAG